UGGGGAAUAUUGGGCAAUGGAGGCAACUCUGACCCAGCAACGCCGCGUGAAUGAUGAAGGUCUUCGGAUUGUAAAGUUCUGUGAUGGGGAACGAAGAAAGUGACGGUACCCCAAGAGCAAGCCACGGCUAACUACGUGCCAGCAGCCGCGGUAAUACGUAGGUGGCAAGCGUUGUCCGGAAUGACUGGGCGUAAAGGGUGCGCAGGCGGCGCGCCAAGUCAGCGGUCAAAGUUCCGGGCUCAACCCGGUGUCGCCGUUGAAACUGGUGUGCUCGAGUGCGUGCGAGGAAGGCGGAAUGCGUUGUGUAGCGGUGAAAUGCAUAGAUAUGACGCAGAACUCCGAUUGCGAAGGCAGCUUUCCAGCGCGCUACUGACGCUGAGGCACGAAAGCGUGGGGAUCGAACA
This 404-nucleotide ribosomal RNA is filed under the name uncultured Dialister sp. RNAcentral describes it as "bacterial SSU rRNA". It matches the Rfam family "Bacterial small subunit ribosomal RNA", at positions 355 to 774 of the family's 1533-position model. The record is from RNAcentral. Lineage: Bacteria; Bacillati; Bacillota; Negativicutes; Veillonellales; Veillonellaceae.